This 378-nucleotide ribosomal RNA is filed under the name uncultured bacterium. Its description in RNAcentral is "bacterial SSU rRNA". It matches the Rfam family "Bacterial small subunit ribosomal RNA", at positions 521 to 898 of the family's 1533-position model. The record is from RNAcentral.
UAAUACGGAGGGUGCAAGCGUUAAUCGGAAUUACUGGGCGUAAAGCGCACGCAGGCGGUUUGUUAAGUCAGAUGUGAAAUCCCCGAGCUUAACUUGGGAACUGCAUUUGAAACUGGCAAGCUAGAGUCUUGUAGAGGGGGGUAGAAUUCCAGGUGUAGCGGUGAAAUGCGUAGAGAUCUGGAGGAAUACCGGUGGCGAAGGCGGCCCCCUGGACAAAGACUGACGCUCAGGUGCGAAAGCGUGGUGAGCAAACAGGAUUAGAUACCCUGGUAGUCCACGCUGUAAACGAUGUCGACUUGGAGGUUGUGCCCUUGAGGCGUGGCUUCCGGAGCUAACGCGUUAAGUCGACCGCCUGGGGAGUACGGCCGCAAGGUUAAA